UCCCAAAUGAAAGAUAAAACAGAAAAGGAGGAUUUGGAUAGGAAUCGUUCUUCGGAUCACACUUAUUUAUCCCUCAAGUUUCCUUUUCCAGUACUUCUCCCUGAUAAUGAUUCUCCUUCUAAAUAUGGGAGCAGUGAAAAUGGCUUUGCAUCUGAUCCAUUCAGCAUUGGGACUCCAAGGAGCAGGCACAAAUUCACGUUGCUACUUUUGAAGUUGAGCUUAGCUGUGAUUUUAGUUCUUGCUCUUGCAGGAUCUUUCUGGUGGACUAUUUCAAUAUCAACCUUGUCAAGGGGUCAAAUACUUCAUAAUUAUAGGAAACUUCAGGAGCAACUUGUUUCAGACCUAUGGGAUAUUGGCGAGUUGUCUCUCGGUUCUUCAAGGUUUAAGGAAGUGGAUUUCUGUUCGCAGGAGUCUGAAAAUUAUGUCCCUUGCUUCAAUGUUUCGGAGAAUCUUGCUUUGGGUUUUUCUGAUGG
This 473-nucleotide unclassified non-coding RNA is filed under the name Hevea brasiliensis (rubber tree). The record is from RNAcentral. Lineage: Eukaryota; Viridiplantae; Streptophyta; Magnoliopsida; Malpighiales; Euphorbiaceae.